This 372-nucleotide ribosomal RNA is filed under the name uncultured eukaryote. Its description in RNAcentral is "partial 18S ribosomal RNA". It matches the Rfam family "Eukaryotic small subunit ribosomal RNA", at positions 592 to 976 of the family's 1831-position model. The record is from RNAcentral.
CAAUAGCGUAUAUUAAAGUUGUUGCAGUUAAAAAGCUCGUAGUUGGAUUUCUGGGAGGGUGCCGCCGUCCGGCGUGUCCGUGUGCAGUGGCGCCCCUCCAUCCUUCUGUUAGCGUCUCUUGGCAUUCAUUUGCUGGUGGCGGGCUCAGAUAUUUUACCUUGAGAAAAUUAGAGUGUUUCAGGCAGGCUAGGCCGGAAUACAUUAGCAUGGAAUAAUGGAAUAGGACUACGGUCUCUUUGUUGGUUUGAGGGACUGCAGUAAUGAUUAAUAGGGAUAGUUGGGGGCAUUAGUAUUUAAUUGUCAGAGGUGGAAUUCUCAGAUUUGUUAAAGACUAACUUAUGCGAAGGCAUUUGCCAAGGAUGUUUUCAUUGA